UACGAAGGGGGCUAGCGUUGUUCGGAAUUACUGGGCGUAAAGGGCGCGUAGGCGGUGUGUCAAGUCAGGCGUGAAAGCCCCGGGCUCAACCUGGGAACCGCGCUUGAGACUGGCACGCUAGAGUUCGGGAGAGGAUGGUGGAAUUCCCAGUGUAGAGGUGAAAAUUCGUAGAUAUUGGGAAGAACACCGAUGGCGAAGGCAGCCAUCUGGACCGACACUGACGCUGAGGCGCGAAAGCGUGGGGAGCAAACAGGG
RNAcentral lists this ribosomal RNA (255 nucleotides) under uncultured bacterium. RNAcentral's name for it is "partial 16S ribosomal RNA". It matches the Rfam family "Bacterial small subunit ribosomal RNA", at positions 524 to 777 of the family's 1533-position model. The record is from RNAcentral.